GACGAACGCUGGCGGCGUGCUUAAUACAUGCAAGUCGAACGAGGUCCAUCCGGUGGCAACACCGGAGAAGACCGAGUGGCGAACGGGUGAGUAACACGUGAGGAACCUGCCCCGAAGACCGGGAUAACAGCGGGAAACCACUGCUAAUACCGGAUACCCCCACUGGACCGCAUGAUCCGGUGAGGAAAGGAUUCUGCUUCGGGAGGGCCUCGCGGCCUAUCAGCUUGUUGGUGGGGUAACGGCCUACCAAGGCGUCGACGGGUAGCUGGU
Molecule: ribosomal RNA, 270 nt
Filed under: uncultured bacterium
Lineage: Bacteria
Description: partial 16S ribosomal RNA
Rfam family: Bacterial small subunit ribosomal RNA
Source: RNAcentral